Long non-coding RNA from Bufo gargarizans (Asiatic toad), 231 nucleotides. RefSeq lists it as uncharacterized. Lineage: Eukaryota; Metazoa; Chordata; Amphibia; Anura; Bufonidae. The transcript has 3 exons. The record is from RefSeq and is a predicted model, not a curated record.
CCCUACCAGGAGAAGCAAGGACCUUCUUCUCAACAUCAUCACAAAGACACAAGCUCUUGCCAUUUGGAGACCAACGCGGUCAACUAUAAGGAGAAAAUCCUUACCCAGCUUAAACUGUACCCUACCAGGAGAAGCAAGGACCUUCUCAACGUCAUCACAAAGACACAAGCUCUUGCCAUUUGGAGACCAACGCGGUCAACUAUAAGGAGAAAAUCCUUACCCAGCUUAAAC